AAUUUAUAACUUUUAGUAAAAAUAAUUUUAUUAUUUUUAAUUGAUGCAAAUAGCACAAAAUAAAACUAUGCAAUAAAAUUUGACAUGAAAAAUAUUUAAGUGAUAAAUAUUGUGCCAGCUAUCGCGGUUAUACUAUAACUAAAAAUUAUUAUUCUUUUCAUAUUUUUAAUAAAAUAUAAAAUUUAAAUUAAUUAGAUGUGAAAUUUAAUUAAUUAUUAUUUAAUAUAAAAAUAUAAAAUUUAAAUUAAAAACUAAGAUUAGAUACCUUAUUAUUUUAAAUUUUAAAAAUGAAGUAGUAAAAUUAAAUUUAAACUUAAUUAAGAUGGCAGUAAGAUUAUCUAUUAAAGGGAGUUGUUCUAUAAUCGAUAAUCCUCGUUAUUUUCCUUUUUUAAAAUUUUGUAUAUCGCCGUUAAAAUUCAAUUUGAGAUUGAAUUAAUUAUUUAAAAUUAUAAGUUAUCAGGUCAAGAUACAAAUAAUAAAAAGGUUUGAAAUGACUUACAAAUUGAUAUUUCAAUUUUUAUUUUUAAUUUUAGAUUUAAAAUAAAAUAGGAUUUAAAAGUAAUAAGAACUAAUAAUAUAUUAUUAUGAUUUAGAUUUAUCUUAUACACAUAUCGCCCGUCACCCUCGUAAGAGGUAAGUCGUAACAAAGUAGAUUUUUUGGAAAAAGAAUCUAGUU
Molecule: non-coding RNA, 676 nt
Filed under: Pseudocapillaria tomentosa
Lineage: Eukaryota; Metazoa; Nematoda; Enoplea; Trichinellida; Capillariidae
Source: RNAcentral